CCCAUUCGCAAGGGCCCAACCUCCUCCCAACGGGCCCGAGCGACCAGAGCCUGCGAACCCUCCUCCCAUCGCAGGCUUCCAAACAGCACCCGCCGGUCCUCCCCCGGCGGGUGUUGUCG
RNAcentral lists this small RNA (119 nucleotides) under Aureimonas jatrophae. RNAcentral describes it as "Alphaproteobacterial ar14". It matches the Rfam family "Alphaproteobacterial ar14". From Rfam's summary of the family: Smr14C2 was renamed NfeR1 (Nodule Formation Efficiency RNA) highly expressed in salt stress and during the symbiotic interaction on legume roots. Lineage: Bacteria; Pseudomonadati; Pseudomonadota; Alphaproteobacteria; Hyphomicrobiales; Aurantimonadaceae. The record is from Rfam by way of RNAcentral.